AUUGAACGCUGGCGGCAUGCCUUACACAUGCAAGUCGAACGGCAGCACGGGUGCUUGCACCUGUUGGCGAGUGGCGAACGGGUGAGUAAUACAUCGGAACAUGUCCUGUAGUGGGGGAUAGCCCGGCGAAAGCCGGAUUAAUACCGCAUACGAUCUACGGAUGAAAGCGGGGGACCUUCGGGCCUCGCGCUAUAGGGUUGGCCGAUGGCGGAUUAGCUAGUUGGUGGGGUAAAGGCCUACCAAGGCGACGAUCAGUAGCUGGUCUGAGAGGACGAGCAGCCACACUGGGACUGAGACACGGCCCAGACUCCUACGGGAGGCAGCAGUGGGGAAUUUUGGACAAUGGGCGAAAGCCUGAUCCAGCAAUGCCGCGUGUGUGAAGAAGGCCUUCGGGUUGUAAAGCACUUUUGUCCGGAAAGAAAUCCUUGGCCCUAAUACGGUCGGGGGAUGACGGUACCGGAAGAAUAAGCACCGGCUAACUACGUG
Molecule: ribosomal RNA, 486 nt
Filed under: uncultured bacterium
Lineage: Bacteria
Description: partial 16S ribosomal RNA
Rfam family: Bacterial small subunit ribosomal RNA
Source: RNAcentral